UACGGGGGGAGCAAGCGUUGUUCGGAUUUACUGGGCGUAAAGGGCGCGUAGGCGGCCACCGCAAGUCGACUGUGAAAUCUCCGGGCUUAACCCGGAAAGGUCAGCCGAUACUGCGGGGCUAGAGUGCAGAAGGGGCAACUGGAAUUCUCGGUGUAGCGGUGAAAUGCGUAGAUAUCGAGAGGAACACCUGCGGCGAAGGCGGGUUGCUGGGCUGACACUGACGCUGAAGCGCGAAAGCCAGGGGAGCGAACGGG
Molecule: ribosomal RNA, 254 nt
Filed under: uncultured bacterium
Lineage: Bacteria
Description: partial 16S ribosomal RNA
Rfam family: Bacterial small subunit ribosomal RNA
Source: RNAcentral